This 253-nucleotide ribosomal RNA is filed under the name uncultured bacterium. Its description in RNAcentral is "partial 16S ribosomal RNA". It matches the Rfam family "Bacterial small subunit ribosomal RNA", at positions 524 to 776 of the family's 1533-position model. The record is from RNAcentral.
UACGUAGGGUGCAAGCGUUGUCCGGAAUUAUUGGGCGUAAAGAGCUCGUAGGCGGUCUGUCGCGUCGGCUGUGAAAACUCGGGGCUCAACUCCGAGCUUGCAGUCGAUACGGGCAGGCUAGAGUUCGGCAGGGGAGACUGGAAUUCCUGGUGUAGCGGUGAAAUGCGCAGAUAUCAGGAGGAACACCCGUGGCGAAGGCGGCACUCUGGGACGGUACUGACGCUGAGACGCGAAAGCGUGGGGAGCAAACAGG